GCGUUUUAAGCAUGCAAGUCAAGGGAUAUCAUGAGGUUUACUUUGUGAUAGACCGGCGAAUGGGUGAGUAAUACGUGAGAAUCUACCUAUAGGCGGGGGAUAGCAUAAGGAAACUUAUGGUAAUACCGCGUAUGUCGAUGAAAUGUCUAAUUAUUAUUAUUGAUGAUUAGAUAUUAUUUGAUGAAAGCUUCUUUUGAAGCGCCUGUAGAUGAGCUCGCGCUCCAUUAGCUAGUUGGUGGGGUAAGAGCCUACCAAGGCAACGAUGGAUAGCCGGCCUGAGAGGGUGAUCGGCCACAUUGGGACUGAGAUACGGCCCAGACUCCUACGGGAGGCAGCAGCUAAGAAUCUUCCGCAAUGGGAGCAAUCCUGACGGAGCGACGCCGCGUGAACGAAGAAGGCGGAAACGUUGUAAAGUUCUUUUAUACGGGAAGAAUAAGGAUACUGAGAGAAACUUUAUUCGAUGACGGUACCGUAUGAAUAAGCCUCGGCUAACUACGUGCCAGCAGCCGCGGUAAUACGUAGGAGGCAAGCGUUGUUCGGAAUUAUUGGGCGUAAAGGGCGUGCAGGCGGUUAGAUAAGUGUGGAUUGAAAGACCGGAGCUUAACUCCGUGUUUGGUCUGCAAACUGUAUAACUAGAGUAUAGACGGGGAGACUGGAAUUCCGCGUGUAGGGGUGAAAUCUGUAGAUAUGCGGAAGAAUACCUGUGGCGAAGGCGAGUCUCUAGUUUAUUACUGACGCUGAGGCGCGAAAGUGUGGGGAGCGAACAGGAUUAGAUACCCUGGUAGUCCACACCGUAAACAUUGUACACUAGGUGUUAGAAGUAUCGACCCUUCUAGUGCCGUAGCUAACGCGUUAAGUGUACCGCCUGGGGAGUAUGCUCGCAAGAGUGAAACUCAAAGGAAUUGACGGGGGCCCGCACAAGCGGUGGAGCAUGUGGUUCAAUUCGAUGAUACGCGAAAAACCUUACCAGGGCUUGACAUUUUUUUGACCGGUAUAGAGAUAUACUUUUGCUUUUUAGCACAAAAAGACAGGUGCUGCAUGGCUGUCGUCAGCUCGUGUUGUGAGAUGUUGGGUUAAGACCCGCAACGAGCGCAACCCCUACUGUUAGUUACCAUCAGGUUAAGCUGGGGACUCUAACGGAACUGCCGGUGACAAACCGGAGGAAGGUGGGGAUGACGUCAAGUCCUCAUGGCCCUUAUGUCCUGGGCUACACACGUGCUACAAUGGACUGUACAAAGGGUAGCGAGAUUGUAAAAUUUAGCCAAUCCCAAAAAGCAGUCCUCAGUUCAGAUUGGAGUCUGCAACUCGACUCCAUGAAGUUGGAAUCGCUAGUAAUCGCAGAUCAGCAUGCUGCGGUGAAUACGUUCCCGGGCCUUGUACACACCGCCCGUCGCACCACCCGAGUCGAGGACACCCGAAGUUAUUACCCUAACCGUAAAAAGAGGGGGGUACCGAAGGUGUGUUUGGUAAGGGGGGUGAAGUCGUAACAGGGUA
This 1494-nucleotide ribosomal RNA is filed under the name metagenome. RNAcentral's name for it is "bacterial SSU rRNA". It matches the Rfam family "Bacterial small subunit ribosomal RNA". The record is from RNAcentral.